CCCUUAGAUGUCCUGGGCCGCACGCGCGUUACACUGAUGCAUUCAACGAGUCUAAAACCUGCUCUGAUAGGGGUGGGUAAUCUUUUGAAUGUGCAUCGUGAUUGGGAUAGAUGAUUGCAAUUUUUCAUCUUCAACGAGGAAUGCCUAGUAAACGCAAGUCAUCAGCUUGCAUUGAUUACGUCCCUGCCCUUUGUACACACCGCCCGUCGCUCCUACCGAUUGAAUGAUCCGAUGAAUAUCAUGGAUUGAGGAUGCAAGCAGGUUCGCCUGUCUUCAUCUUCGAGAAGUGAAGUAAAUCUUAUCAUUUAGAGGAAGGAGAAGUCGUAACA
This 329-nucleotide ribosomal RNA is filed under the name uncultured eukaryote. Its description in RNAcentral is "partial 18S ribosomal RNA". It matches the Rfam family "Eukaryotic small subunit ribosomal RNA", at positions 1470 to 1796 of the family's 1831-position model. The record is from RNAcentral.